Molecule: ribosomal RNA, 497 nt
Filed under: uncultured bacterium
Lineage: Bacteria
Description: partial 16S ribosomal RNA
Rfam family: Bacterial small subunit ribosomal RNA
Source: RNAcentral
GAUGAACGCUGGCGGCGUGCCUAAUACAUGCAAGUCGAGCGAACAGACGAGGAGCUUGCUCCUCAGACGUUAGCGGCGGACGGGUGAGUAACACGUGGAUAACCUACCUAUAAGACUGGGAUAACUUCGGGAAACCGGAGCUAAUACCGGAUAAUAUAUUGAACCGCAUGGUUCAAUAGUGAAAGACGGUUUUGCCGUCACUUAUAGAUGGAUCCGCGCCGCAUUAGCUAGUUGGUAAGGUAACGGCUUACCAAGGCAACGAUGCGUAGCCGACCUGAGAGGGUGAUCGGCCACACUGGAACUGAGACACGGUCCAGACUCCUACGGGAGGCAGCAGUAGGGAAUCUUCCGCAAUGGGCGAAAGCCUGACGGAGCAACGCCGCGUGAGUGAUGAAGGUCUUCGGGUCGUAAAACUCUGUUAUUAGGGAAGAACAAAUGUGUAAGUAACUAGGCACGUCUUGACGGUACCUAAUCAGAAAGCCACGGCUAACUACGUG